AGGCCGUGUACAAGAGUUACUGGAUAUAUCGCUGGAAGAAGAUGACCUUGACCUGACAACAGAAAGACCUGCAACGGAGGAGGAUUUUUGCCAGUUAAGUGAAGACAGUGCAGAACCAGGUUUGACAACUUCUUCAACAGAAACCAGUAAAGGAUUUUCUUAUUACAUUGUCGCUGGUGUUGGAGGUAUUGUUGCCAUGGCAGCAGCUGCAGUCACAUACGUGUUCUCUGAAAAUACCUGAGUAAAACAUUACAGGAGGUCCUGGUUGUAAAAUAAGAGAUUAUAUUACACAACAGAGAAGUGCUGUGCAGGCUGACCUCCCCUUGGUUGAUAGUUCCGUGCUGGAGAAAGCCUUGACACUAAUAAUUUAGGACAUUUUGAUUAUUUAUUAGUUUAUUUUAUGUUAUAAAAAGAGUCAUUGGAAGUGGGGAAAUUCAUUUUGUUAUGUUUUUUUCUGGUUUCACCUUACUUCUCCACCGUGAGUAAGCUGUGCAGUAGAACUGGGAUGAAGCCGGAUGUAUGAAAACACUUUGAAUGUGCAAAAUAUCUUGAGAUCAUUUCAUUACUUCUUAAAAAUGGUAUUUAAUAUCAUUUAAACAUUGUAUAGGUAGUGUAGUGUCCACUUUAUCUUAGUUUAAUUAUAUUAUGUUUAAAGCAUUAAAUUAUGUAUUAUAAGAAUAAUAGUAGUGCAAUAUUAAAGUAAAACAUUGAUGUAAAGAUUUUGUGAAAAUGUAAAGGAUUACAGCAAAAAAAAAUAUAAAAUUAUAAUUCAGUCGUACAAAGUUAUUCAGGAAGAUUGUGGAAUCUUGAUGUUUGAUAAUGUUUAAAGGGUUAUAAAUUAAUCUAACAUUUUUGUACCCCCCAACAACAAAGUUGUAAGGGGGGGGUAUACUGGUUUCAGGUUGUCUGUCUGUCUGUCUGUCUGUCCGUCUGUCUGUCUGUCCGUCUGGCCGUCUGUCGGUAGACGCAAUCUUGUGCGCACCAUCUCUCCUUAUCCCCUUGACAGAAUUUAAUGAAACUUCACACAAGUGAUCAGUACCAACAGUAGUUGUGCAUGGGGCAUGUUAGGUUCUUUUAGAAAAAAAUUUGCAGAGUUAUGGGACUUUGUUUUUUUGUAACUAUACUAUAUACAUAGACACAAUCUUGUGCGCACCAUCUCUCCUCAUCCCCUUGACACAAUUUAAUGAAACUUCACACAAGUGAUCAGUACCAACAGUAGUUGUGCAUGGGGCAUGUUAGGUUCUUUUAGAAAAAAAAUUUGCAGAGUUAUGGGACUUUGUUUUUUUGUUACUAUACUAUAUACAUAGACACAAUCUUGUGCGCACCAUCUCUCCUCAUCCCCUUGACACAAUUUAAUGAAACUUCACACAAGUGAUCAGUAACAACAGUAGUUGUGCAUUGGGCAUGUUAGGUUCUUUCAGAAAAAAAAAUUUGCAGAGUUAUGGGACUUUGUUUUUUUGUUACUAUACUAUAUACAUAGACACAAUCUUGUGCACACCAUCUCUCCUCAUCCCCUUGACACAAUUUAAUGAAACUUCACACAAGUGAUCAGUAACAACAGUAGUUGUGCAUGGGGCAUGUUAGGUUCUUUCAGAAAAAAAAAUUGCAGAGUUAUGGGACUUUGUUUUUUUGUUACUAUACUAUAUACAUAGACACAAUCUUGUGCACACCAUCUCUCCUCAUCCCCUUGACACAGUUUAAUGAAACUUCACACAAGUGAUCAGUAACAACAGUAGUUGUGCAUGGGGCAUGUUAGGUUCUUUCAGCGACAAAAAUUGCAGAGUUAUGGGACUUUGUUUCUUGUUAACAUACUAUGUACAUACAGUCUGCAUAUGCAAUCUUGUGCGUGCCUAAUCUACCAAACCCUUACACACAAUUUAAUGAAACUUCACACAAGUGAUCAGUACCAACCCUAGUUGUGCAUGAUGCAUGUUACAUUCUUUUAGAUAAAUAUUCUGCAUAGUUAUGGGACUUUGUUUUUUGUUACUAUACUGUAUACAUACAGUCUAUAUACAUACAGUCCACAUAAUUAUGCAAUCUUGUGUGCGUCAAAUUGCAAUGUACUGUGCCAGUGCAUGCAGGGUGGGGGGGGGUACAUUCAUCACCUUUAGUGAUAGCUCUAGUUAAACAAGUUGUAUGGUAGUCAGACAUUGUAUAUUCUGCAACAAACUACAGUAUGAUGCUUGCUCAGGUGAGAGAAAUCAAAAUAAGAUGUCAAUUGCUGUAUUAUGUCUGGUCUGUUAUGUCUUGGAUGACAUAAAUUCAACAUAAGUUUUAUCAUAUUUCAGAUGCUUAGGUAUUUUACUAAUCAGGCUUGCCUCAGGGUUCAGUUCCUUUGCAGCUGAACUGCAAACAUUGGUACAAAGGCCUGAUCAUUUUUAUGGUCCCUUUCAAAGAAGGGGGAUAUAUUGUUUUGUUCAUGUCAUCUGUCUUUGCAUUGGUAAACAACUUGGUUACCUAUGGUGGACAAACUUCAUAUGAUUAUUGCCUUGUCUGUAGUCAGUGGAAGACCCCUGUAGUUUUCAGGGUCAAAGGUCAGGGUCACAUUAACCAUAAAAUAGAAAAUAUUAUUUGGGACAGAAGCCUUUUAUCUUUUAAAACAGAGGACCAACAAUAUUUUGUAAUGGCAGUUCUUCUAAGAACAUUAUAGUACAUUAUCAUAAUUUUUAUCAGAUACAAUCAGAUACCCAGAUAGAUCCUUGGAUUUCUCAAAACAAAGGACGUAGUUCACUUAAGCCUUAUAUCCUUAGGACACCGUGCACAUUUUUAUGCAGUCUCGCCAGGCAUAUGUAUGUUUUUGACAACACAGAAAAUGAAGGCACUUGACCUUCAGGUAUUUCCGGAAGUAAAGAAAAUGAAAGUGGACAUGCAAAACUUGAAAACGAAAGUCACCUUUGGAUUGGUCGAUAGUCAGGGGUCACAUGCAGGGCAAGGGUCACCCCGUCAAGGUGUAUGCGCGUAGACCUCUUUUUUUUUUUUUUUGCUAAUGGGGUGUCAGUUUUCAGCAUUUUUUUCUAAUGAUCUGAAAAUACCUGGGCUUUAGCACAACAUGUCAGCUUUUCAUCUUCGAAAAAAUAUUCGAACUUGGAAUAAACACAACGGGAUCCGUAACUGAGCAAGGGUACAUAGAGAUUUUUGGAACUUUGUCAAAUUGUUCAAAAGGUCCUUUUUGGUGUUGUCUAAAAGUGUCAGUAUAAGCCUCGGGUGUAAGAUAUUUCUGUAUUUGAGAGCUGCAGACCUAGACAUUUCAGAAAUAUUUUCAAAAUGAAAUUUGUGUAACAAAUGUUGAUUAUUACUUAAGCAUGAAGCCAUCAGAUGCUAAAUUAGAUAGAUACCUUUUAUCAUGUUACAAGUGCGGAAACAAGUUGCUACCAGCAGAUUUAUCUUGUAUAAUAAAUUCAAUUUUUUUUUAGAAAUAGAUUUAUUAUUUUGAUCAAAACAUGUCACUGAAUAUGUCUGAAUCACUGAGCAUUUUUUGCAAUAUUUAAGUCAUGUAAGUGUUUUAGUUGUGAACACACUGGAGGAUUAACAAAAUUUCUUUUCAAUUUGAGACUUCCAGUUUUUAGGCUAUUUUUGGGCAAAAAUGAAUUAUGUCCUUUCAUAACUGCCUGCCUGAACAGCAGUUGUACACAUCAGUAUGACAUGUAUCUUUAAAAAGAUAUCCAUGUCUGUCUAAUAUUUCAAAUGAUGACUCGUUAUUAUUUGGACUUGUAUUUUAUGAGGAUGAUAUAAAUCUGUGCUAAUUUCAUUCUAUUUACAUAAUUAUGAGCAUUGCCAUGAGAAAACCAUCAUAGUGCAUUUGCAACCAGCGACCAGCAUGGAUCCAGAUCAGUCUAUGCAUCCACACAGUCUGGUCAGGAUCCAUGUUGUUUGCUUUCAAAGCCUGUUGCAAUUAGAGACACUGUUACCGAACAGCAUGGAUCCUGAACAGACUAUGUGGAUGCGCAGGCUUGUCUGGAUCCCUGCUGGUAACAAAUGCAUUAUGUUGGUUUUCUCAUGGUGCGGCUCAUAUAUUUGUUGGUUACUAGCUUUGUAUGGAGAAAAAUGCACAAGUUCUGCAGCGGAAAUAUUGCUUGAUUGUAGGAGCCAAAUAUUCCACAAAAGAACGAGUGCAUAUUUCUUGAUGCAAAAGAAAUACCUAUGCACAUAUAGACAUAUUAAUGUUAUAUAAGUUUGUUUUAUAGCCUGACGAUAUUGACAUAAAUAGAUGAUUUAACAGGUUAAAAUGACAUCUAGCACCUGGUAUGAAAUUCAGAUGUCAUAAUGGAAAAAUAUAGAAAUUUCCCCUUUCUUUGCAACAUGACAGACUGAGAAUAAACAUAAGUAUGUAAUCAUUAAUAGUGUGUUGCCUACAUAGUAGAUAGCUGGCCUACUUACUUAAAAUGUUCUAUUAUUUUAAAAAAAAAGUAUGGUCUAGAAUUAAAUCGCUCUUGUUUUAUUUCUUAUUUACAUACUAACAUGAAAUUAUUUUGUAAACUUCAAUAAUUAGACACAUAUCUGAAGCUAUGCCAUUUUGAAUACAUACACCUAUUAGUAAAACUUUACUUCUUGAUUACAUGAAAUAUUAUGUACAUAAGAUUUGCUUUGCUUAAUAUAAUGUUCAUUUCCAAAAAACAAAGCUUUAUGUACACAUAAUUUAGACAGGCAUUUUUCCUUAAGCUUAGUUAUUAGGCAUUUUAUGACAAUAUCAACUUCCUUAAAAUUUUUCCUUUUAUACCUUGUUUUGAAAAAAAAACCUGAGUUAUUAUGAAAUGACACUGUCUGUCUGUCUAUCAACAAUUUUUGUUUCUGGAUGCUUAACACCCAGUAUAAUAGCUAUAGCUUUCAAGCUUUAUAGAUUGACUAAGCACCACUUGAGGAUGAUCCCUAUUGCUUUUGGGUUUAAUAAGUCUAAGGUCAAGGUCACAGUUAACUAGACUGAAAACAGUUUUCCCAGUCUGCAUCCGAACAGGCAUAUUAUGCCAAGCUCUUGUUUAAUAUUGAUAGGUACUGCUUUAAAAAAGCUUACUUUAGACUAAUGUAUAGAUUAUACAUUUUUCAGUUAAAACAGAAUUAAGCCGCGCCAUGUGAAAAACAACAUAGUGCCUUUGCGACCAGCAUUGAUCCAGAUCAGGUUGCGCAUCCGCGCAGUCUGGUCAGAAUCCAUGCUGUUCGCUAACAUUUUCUCUAAUUCCAAUAGGCUUAAAAAGAGAACAGCAUGGUUCCUGACAAGACUGCGCAGAUGCGCAGGCUGGUCUGGAUCCAUGCUGGUCGCAAAGCCACUAUGUUGGUUUUCUCAUGGUGUGGCUCAAUUAUGUUAAUGGUUUAUUAUAAAUACAUAACUGUUGUAUAUAAUGAACUCUUUGCAGUUUGAAUAGACAUACUGACAUUACUGUUUAAGUGAGUCACUGUGUGUAAUUGGAUAAAAAAGCUGUUUUUAGAGAAAUUAAACCCGCUUUGAAAGGAACAAAACUGAAUUAUGCAUGAUUGGAGUGAUGAUAGAAGAUUUUGUAGAUACUGAUUCACUUACAUUUAAGACCAAAAGUGUAUCUUUUAUUUGAAAGUCCAAGUUAAAACUUUUCUUUAAAUUAAUGUUUGUACAUUUUGUUUACCUUUUUUUUCAAAUGCUGUUAAUUCAUGUCACCAUUUUAAGCAGUUUGGUUUUUGAAUAGUUUUAUCAACAUUUUUUAAGUAAUUUUGUUGUGAAGCAGGUUUAAUUGUUACAGGUUAUGUUGUAUUUUGUUCAUUUUUUGUUAAAACAAAAUUUAGUGACAGUAAAAAGUGGAUAAAUAUAAAGCAACUGUAAGGUGUUAGUGUGUAAUAAAUGGAGAGUUCGUUGAGAAAGGUUAAUCUGAUAGGAUAUCAGGAGCUAAGAGAUCUCAGUCGAUAUGCUCACGAGUCUUCUUUAGUAAGACUUUGAACUUCCCAACAUGAAUCUUGGGAGGAGGAUAAAUGAUUUCAGAUGCAAUAUGUUUUAACAGUGGUAAUUAAGAAAAUGCGUCUCACCACAGGCUUGAACUUACAUGGCUCUUUUUGAUUGCCAGUUAAACAUAGAAGAAGGUCAAACUGUGUAUAGUUUGCAAUAAACAAUAGUAAAUGCUAGGAAGAGUUAGAGAGCUUUAUGACAUUAUUUAUUAUGACACCAAAUUGCCACAUGACGUCUGAUGUUUACUACUCCAUCAUAAGUUUUAUCAAAAUAUUUCAAGAGCAUGUAAGAAGGGCCUUCCUGUGCCAUUUGGUUUACCAUGGUUCAUCAUUUAAUUGCUUAGAUUACUCGGGCUAACGCCUUAAAGGUUCGGUUCCUGCAUACUAGUAUCUGAAAUAAGAACCGUGAUAAAUCAGGCAACAAACCACUCUAAGGAUAAUUACAAAACAACACGGUUAAAACCAUUUUCAUACAGAUUUAUGCACUAGAUCACACCAGCUUCUGUGAAUGUUUUUGAUACUGGAUACCAUCAUAUUUUGUUAGCUUUUGGUCAGUUAUGAAAUAUAUCAUUAUCUUGAUCGUGUGUUUUCUUGUUAAUGUACAAGAUUGUGUCAUAUCAACCAAAUAAAAGCACAUUUAACUGA
Molecule: long non-coding RNA, 6549 nt
Organism: Mercenaria mercenaria
Lineage: Eukaryota; Metazoa; Mollusca; Bivalvia; Venerida; Veneridae
Exons: 4
Source: RefSeq, a predicted model, not a curated record